GAAAAUAAUGGUUUACAAAUAUGAACAGAAUAUACUUUGCCCAAAGCACAGACUAUGUAAUAGUUAAAAGGAAGUAAACGUGGGCUGAGAACACUGGAAGGAGAACUGUGAGGUGUGUUUGCUGUUAGAUUAUAAGCUCCUAAACCAGAACCACUUUCUAAGAGACGCAAAAGUAGUUCCUUCACCUAUGGGAUGUAAAACUGAACUUGAAAAACUAUCUAAGAAUAUUCAGUGUAGAUGGCUCCUUUCAAAUGGUGGGGAUUAUGGAAAGAAUAUGUUAGGUGUUUUUCAACUCAUUACUAAAUCUCUCUAUCUUGAAUUUCCUUGACAUAAGAAGCAUUUUAAAUCAAACUAUUAGAGCAUAAGUUAAGUUGCUUAAAUCUUCCCUUUUCCUAAAAUACUUGUUUCAUAAACAUAAAUAAAAUAUUUAAAUUUCAAGAGAAUCUUUGUUAAGACAUUUUAGAAAGUUUACAGCUUUCACUUUGUUUUUCUUACUACUAAGUAGAAGUUUAGGUUUACAUUUAGAUGUUUUAUGAUAAUAUAUUAGUUAAGCCUUCAACCAAGAAUAUGACUCUCUUGGCUUAAAAGUCUAUGAGGGCAUGUUACUUCCAAGAUUUUCCUCUAGAAGCUAAAGUCCAAUAUAUUAUUUCAAAUUUGGGAAUAUCUCCUUCCAUUUCAUUUUAUUUCUACUUGAAUAAAUUAAAGAACUAUUUAGGACAAAUUGCAGGGUUUUCCACAGUAGACCUUCUUAGUUAUAAGAAAAUGAAAAGACUGAUUUAUAAUUUUUCAGAGCCUCCAGGUUUAGUUUAUAGCUUUCAGGAUGUAUAGCUAAGAAAUCUUCCAAAGCUAGUAGGGAAAUGUAACACAGCAAAAAUAAUUGUUACAUAAAAAAUAGUUAAGGUAGAUAAAUAGAUAAUAAAAUUCUAAAGAAGCCUGCCAUGGUAGCUUUUUUUUUCUUUUUCUUUUUCUUUUUCUUUCUUUUCAGGAAAGUUCAUCUGGAUCUAUCAGAAUAUUGAAUAUUGAUAAUUUGUGAAUUAAAGUUUUCUG
RNAcentral lists this long non-coding RNA (1047 nucleotides) under Phocoena sinus (vaquita). RNAcentral's name for it is "lncRNA (ENSPSNG00000006424.1)". The record is from RNAcentral. Lineage: Eukaryota; Metazoa; Chordata; Mammalia; Artiodactyla; Phocoenidae.